Molecule: ribosomal RNA, 243 nt
Filed under: uncultured bacterium
Lineage: Bacteria
Description: partial 16S ribosomal RNA
Rfam family: Bacterial small subunit ribosomal RNA
Source: RNAcentral
AGUAAUGUCUGGGAAACUGCCUGAUGGAGGGGGAGUAACUACUGGAAACGGUAGCUAAUACCGCAUAACGUCGCAAGACCAAAGAGGGGGACCUUCGGGCCUCUUGCCAUCAGAUGUGCCCAGAUGGGAUUAGCUAGUAGGUGGGGUAACGGCUCACCUAGGCGACGAUCCCUAGCUGGUCUGAGAGGAUGACCAGCCACACUGGAACUGAGACACGGCCCAGACUCCUACGGAGGCAGCAUG